This 520-nucleotide ribosomal RNA is filed under the name uncultured bacterium. RNAcentral's name for it is "bacterial SSU rRNA". It matches the Rfam family "Bacterial small subunit ribosomal RNA", at positions 990 to 1509 of the family's 1533-position model. The record is from RNAcentral.
UAAGAACUUUCCAGAGAUGGAUUGGUGCCUUCGGGAACUUAGAUACAGGUGCUGCAUGGCUGUCGUCAGCUCGUGUCGUGAGAUGUUGGGUUAGGUCCCGCAACGAGCGCAACCCUUUUCCUUAUUUGCCAGCGGGUUAAGCCGGGAACUUUAAGGAUACUGCCAGUGACAAACUGGAGGAAGGCGGGGACGACGUCAAGUCAUCAUGGCCCUUACGGCCAGGGCUACACACGUGCUACAAUGGUCGGUACAAAGGGUUGCUACCUCGCGAGAGGAUGCUAAUCUCAAAAAGCCGAUCGUAGUCCGGAUCGCAGUCUGCAACUCGACUGCGUGAAGUCGGAAUCGCUAGUAAUCGCGGAUCAGAAUGCCGCGGUGAAUACGUUCCCGGGCCUUGUACACACCGCCCGUCACACCAUGGGAGUUUGUUGCACCAGAAGUAGGUAGUCUAACCGCAAGGAGGACGCUUACCACGGUGUGGCCGAUGACUGGGGUGAAGUCGUAACAAGGUAGGCGUAGAUGA